AUGGCCACGGCCAUAGCCGAAGCCAGCGCCGGAGCAACAAGCAGCGACAGUAGUAGUGCAGUAGCAGGCAUCCAACACAGAAGAGCAGCAGCAGCACAAAGCAAAGCAGCAGCAGCUAGCAAAGAGCAGCGGGAGCAGCAGCUACGCAAGGGACAGCAAUGGGCGCUGGGUGCGGUCGCGGUGGCCAGGGUGCGCACGGUCGCGGACUGGCGGGCAGGGGCACAUGGUGAGGAGCUUGGGCUUCCUUCCAUGGCACCAAACACGGUGGGGGUGACGUAUGGCGCGGAACUAAGCGGGAAGGGAGGGGAUCCGGAGGAGGGACUCACAGAGAGGCCGCAGACGAGCUCGGGGAGGCCGGGGACGGUCGGGAUGGAGCGAACCGAAGAAGAGAUGACGGCGGCCGUGGCGAGGAGACGAUUGCGAUCUCGAACGUAUGGGCCGCCCUGGCUCGAUUUGGUGCCCGGGAUGGACGAAGACGGCCACGCUGGACCUCCUAGACUUGUUCCCGAGUGCCAACGUCAACGAUGGCCGCGGUAG
This 537-nucleotide ribosomal RNA is filed under the name Triticum aestivum (bread wheat). RNAcentral describes it as "partial small subunit ribosomal RNA". Lineage: Eukaryota; Viridiplantae; Streptophyta; Magnoliopsida; Poales; Poaceae. The record is from RNAcentral.